RNAcentral lists this transfer RNA (74 nucleotides) under Clostridiales bacterium. Its description in RNAcentral is "tRNA-Asp". It matches the Rfam family "tRNA". From Rfam's summary of the family: Transfer RNA (tRNA) molecules are approximately 80 nucleotides in length. Their secondary structure includes four short double-helical elements and three loops (D, anti-codon, and T loops). Further hydrogen bonds mediate the characteristic L-shaped molecular structure. tRNAs have two regions of fundamental functional importance: the anti-codon, which is responsible for specific mRNA codon recognition, and the 3' end, to which the tRNAs corresponding amino acid is attached (by aminoacyl-tRNA synthetases). tRNAs cope with the degeneracy of the genetic code in two manners: having more than one tRNA (with a specific anti-codon) for a particular amino acid; and 'wobble' base-pairing, i.e. permitting non-standard base-pairing at the 3rd anti-codon position. The record is from RNAcentral. Lineage: Bacteria; Bacillati; Bacillota; Clostridia; Eubacteriales.
GGCUCAGUAGCUCAGUUGGUUAGAGCACCGGCCUGUCACGCCGGGGGUCGUGGGUUCAAGUCCCCUCUGAGUCG